GUAAUUGACGCUGAGGCACGAAAGCGUGGGGAUCAAACAGGAUUAGAUACCCUGGUAGUCCACGCAGUAAACGAUGAUAACUAACCGCUGGGAUUUCGGUUUCAGUGGCCAAGCGAAAGCGAUAAGUUAUCCACCUGGGGAGUACGACCGCAAGGUUGAAACUCAAAGGAAUUGACGGGGGCCCGCACAAGCGGAGGAACAUGUGGUUUAAUUCGAUGAUACGCGAGGAACCUUACCCGGGCUCGAACGGCUGGUGAAGCGAUCCAGAGAUGGUGACGUCCUUCGGGACACCAGUCGAGGUGCUGCAUGGUUGUCGUCAGCUCGUGCCGUGAGGUGUCGGCUCAAGUGCCAUAACGAGCGCAACCCUUGUCGUCAGUUACCAGCAUGCAAUGAUGGGGACUCUGGCGAGACUGCCACCGCAAGGUGAGAGGAAGGGGGGGAUGACGUCAAAUCAGCACGGCCCUUACGUCCGGGGCGACACACGUGUUACAAUGGCGGCCACAGAGGGGCACUACCUGGUGACAGGAUGGGAAUCUCGAAAAGCCGUCUCAGUCCGGAUCGGAGUCUGCAACCCGACUCCGUGAAGCUGGAUUCGCUAGUA
RNAcentral lists this ribosomal RNA (601 nucleotides) under uncultured bacterium. Its description in RNAcentral is "bacterial SSU rRNA". It matches the Rfam family "Bacterial small subunit ribosomal RNA", at positions 736 to 1340 of the family's 1533-position model. The record is from RNAcentral.